RNAcentral lists this transfer RNA (73 nucleotides) under Elusimicrobia bacterium RIFOXYA2_FULL_40_6. Its description in RNAcentral is "tRNA-Asp". It matches the Rfam family "tRNA". Rfam says of the family: Transfer RNA (tRNA) molecules are approximately 80 nucleotides in length. Their secondary structure includes four short double-helical elements and three loops (D, anti-codon, and T loops). Lineage: Bacteria; Pseudomonadati; Elusimicrobiota. The record is from RNAcentral. RNAcentral also lists the same sequence under 1 other name.
GGGGUGUUAGUGUAGUAGUCAACACGCCUGCCUGUCACGCAGGAGAUCACGGGUGCGACUCCCGUACACCCCG